This 344-nucleotide long non-coding RNA is filed under the name Physcomitrium patens. RNAcentral describes it as "long non-coding RNA (PPAT_LNC007222)". The record is from RNAcentral. Lineage: Eukaryota; Viridiplantae; Streptophyta; Bryopsida; Funariales; Funariaceae.
UCUUUUUUGUUGAUGGAAGGGAGAAAAAGGAGGGAAAUAAAAAUUCAAAUGUUUGACCAACAACAUUGAAGAUAAGAUGAUGGUCUUUAAAACAUGCAAAUUUGUUUUGUGGUACUAAUGGAGGUUUUAAUGUAACAUUAUUUACCAAAUAAUAUUGAAGAUAAAAAUCUUCUACUUUCAAAAUACCUUUCUUAUGUAUCAUAGUUUGAAUCUUAUGCUUCCAUGAUAUUUCUAAUGUCUUUAUCAAUGUGCUUGUGUAUGGAUUAAUAAAAAAUAACUCUUUUGUACAUUUAAACUAUUCAAAAAUAAGGCUGAGUGUAUACAUAUACUUCUUUUACAAUAUU